AUUGUGUGAACUGUUCGAUAAGGGGAGUAUGAGAGGCUCUGAACUCUCAGUAUGGAGCACACAGUAAACUCUUCCCAAGGGACUGUGGAGUCCCUUAACCUACCAGAAGAGCUGGGCACCAUCAUAAAUUAGCUUGGUGCAAAUGAGCAUGAUAUGCGGAUGGUUCUGUGGAUGUGUAGCAUCUUCGCUGUCCAAGUCAACCUGGCCAGGCAGUGACGUAUACAUGCUGUUUGUGUAUUAAGUCUUUCCUCUGCUUUGAUUCUACUGUGUCUGAACAAGGAAACAGACGGGACAGAGGACAAACAGGAAAUGUGUUUUGCUUUCACUCAAAUGCUGACAUGCAGGGUUGUAAUGAGGUUUGUAAGUAAACUAAGCAGUUUAAAGUGUCCUGUGCCAUUUUUCAAUUUUAAGACAUCAACAUAAAAGGUGAAACAUUUUAAUGCAGCUAAUUUGCUAAUGUAUUUACAUUAAAAUCCCUU
This is a long non-coding RNA of Oncorhynchus masou masou (cherry salmon), 479 nucleotides long. RefSeq lists it as uncharacterized. The transcript has 4 exons. NCBI's taxonomy places the organism in Eukaryota, Metazoa, Chordata, Actinopteri, Salmoniformes, Salmonidae. The record is from RefSeq and is a predicted model, not a curated record.